RNAcentral lists this ribosomal RNA (985 nucleotides) under human gut metagenome. Its description in RNAcentral is "bacterial LSU rRNA". It matches the Rfam family "Bacterial large subunit ribosomal RNA", at positions 1942 to 2925 of the family's 2925-position model. The record is from RNAcentral.
AUAACGGUCCUAAGGUAGCGAAAUUCCUUGUCAGGUAAGUUCUGACCCGCACGAAAGGCGUAACGAUUUGGGCGCUGUCUCAGCUGUAGACUCGGUGAAGUCUUAGUACCUGUGAAGAUGCAGGUUACCCGCGACUAGACGGAAAGACCCCAUGGAGCUUCACUGCAGGUUGAUAUUGGGAUUUGAUGCAGCAUGUACAGGAUAGGUAGGAGGCAAAGAGAUGGAUACGCCAGUAUUCAAGGAGCCGCUGUUGGGAUACUACCCCUGUUGUAUUGGAUUUCUAACCGGACGACGUAGAGCCGUUGACGGGACAGUGUCAGUCGGGCAGUUUGACUGGGGCGGUCGCCUCCCAAAGAGUAACGGAGGCGCCCAAAGAUACCCUCAGCUUGGAUGGAAACCAAGCGCAGAGUGCAAAGGCAAAAGGGUGUUUGACUGCGAGACCCACAAGUCGAGCAGGGACGAAAGUCGGGCUUAGUGAUCCGGCGGUGCUGAAUGGAAAGGCCGUCGCUCAACGGAUAAAAGCUACCCUGGGGAUAACAGGCUGAUCUCCCCCAAGAGUCCACAUCGACGGGGAGGUUUGGCACCUCGAUGUCGGCUCAUCGCAUCCUGGAGCUGAAGUCGGUUCCAAGGGUUGGGCUGUUCGCCCAUUAAAGCGGUACGCGAGCUGGGUUCAGAACGUCGUGAGACAGUUCGGUCCCUAUCUGUCGUGGGCGCAGGAAAUUUGAGAAGAGCUGUCCUCAGUACGAGAGGACCGGGAUGGACGCAUCAAUGGUGGACCAGUUGUCACGCCAGUGGCAUAGCUGGGUAGCUAAAUGCGGAAGGGAUAAACGCUGAAGGCAUCUAAGUGUGAAACCCACUUCAAGAUGAGAUUUCCCAUUGCGCAAGCAAGUAAGACCCCUUAAAGACGAUAAGGUAGAUAGGUCAGGAGUGUAAGCAUGGUGACAUGUUAAGCGGACUGAUACUAAUAGGUCGAGGGCUUGACCGA